RNAcentral lists this ribosomal RNA (825 nucleotides) under Triticum aestivum (bread wheat). RNAcentral's name for it is "partial small subunit ribosomal RNA". Lineage: Eukaryota; Viridiplantae; Streptophyta; Magnoliopsida; Poales; Poaceae. The record is from RNAcentral.
UACUGCAACACAGCUAUACUCGUCUCGCACCUACCCACCGCAGGACGGGAAGCGGCUACCCUACACGGUACCGUCACCGGUUGGCACAGAGAGUGGUACCACCGGACACGUGAUUCGCGAGAAAACCGUCCUUUCCAACUCGUCAGUCAAAACCUCAUAGAUCCGAUAGUUCGGCCUCUCCGUUGAUAACUACUCUUCCGGCCCCAUGAGAAAAACCUUGUUAAAUCACACUGUCGUCAACGGUAACCUCAAUACAAACCGUAGUGGUUAUGGAAGGCUGGUAAGAGCCUACUGUAUAAAGCAAUACUAAAAUUCCUUGGUAAAUUCGACGUUUUGCCGACCGAGGACACCCGACCUUAACCGGAGAAAAAACGAGAUCAAAGGUAAAGAAAUUGACCUCGACACUACUGGAAAGACUUACCACGUUGGUGUGUCUCUCUCUGACUGAGCGAUGAAGAAGAUAACGGUGACUAUCCGAGCAGCUUAUAGUCGUGACGGACAGACGACCCGUAGUGACCCCAAGAACGUGGUUAAAACCUCCUUUGACAUAAAUCUCCUAAAGAUUACCAUAGGAACUGAUACACCAAAAGAUGCGGUCAUAGACAAGACUAGUGUCGACACCACAAACGGAAACGAGUAGAAUGUGGUCCUCUCAAAGGGGUUGAAAAACACGAACCACACCGUGACCCUAAGAGUAUAAGAGUUUGAGCCUUAGAAGAAUGAGGAUAGUGUCAAGUACGACGAACCUUAAGGCCUCAUUAUAACAAUGAUUGGAAAGAAGUCGACGUCCCUAUACUAUAGUUCCUCGACGACGUCCGUAGAACU